This 454-nucleotide ribosomal RNA is filed under the name Dehalococcoides sp. enrichment culture clone AQ1-8. Its description in RNAcentral is "bacterial SSU rRNA". It matches the Rfam family "Bacterial small subunit ribosomal RNA", at positions 28 to 506 of the family's 1533-position model. Lineage: Bacteria; Bacillati; Chloroflexota; Dehalococcoidia; Dehalococcoidales; Dehalococcoidaceae. The record is from RNAcentral.
GAUGAACGCUAGCGGCGUGCCUUAUGCAUGCAAGUCGAACGGUCUUAAGCAAUUAAGAUAGUGGCGAACGGGUGAGUAACGCGUAAGUAACCUACCUCUAAGUGGGGGAUAGCUUCGGGAAACUGAAGGUAAUACCGCAUGUGGUGGGCCGACAUAUGUUGGUUCACUAAAGCCGUAAGGCGCUUGGUGAAGGGCUUGCGUCCGAUUAGCUAGUUGGUGGGGUAAUGGCCUACCAAGGCUUCGAUCGGUAGCUGGUCUGAGAGGAUGAUCAGCCACACUGGGACUGAGACACGGCCCAGACUCCUACGGGAGGCAGCAGCAAGGAAUCUUGGGCAAUGGGCGAAAGCCUGACCCAGCAACGCCGCGUGAGGGAUGAAGGCUUUCGGGUUGUAAACCUCUUUUCAUAGGGAAGAAUAAUGACGGUACCUGUGGAAUAAGCUUCGGCUAACUACGU